UAGUUGAAUGGAAGAGAGGUUGAGUAAUAACAACUGUGACACGCAUUUGUUUUUACAGAAGAAGUUGUGGUCUCUGAUCUUGUAUAUGUGAAUUUGGGAGAUGAAGUUGAUAAUUCGAGCUAACAUGUGGUGUACACAUCUGAAUAACAUUUAGUUGAAUUUUGUAGAAGACAAUGGGAUCAAGAUUGUGAGAGGCAAGCAAUGUUUCUCGAAGAAUUGUUUCUGAAACUUACCAUCGUUUCUUAAACAGCUGGGCCAACAUGGGAGUUAUCAGGUUGAAUGAACAAUUUGCCAUGGUUAUUGAGAUAACUAGCGUCCACGCAAAGGGGAAAAGAUAAUUCCCUUCAGCUCACUCACAAUGGACACACUACAUUACACGACCCCAAAGGAGAGAAAUGGACUGGACUAGACUCAAAAGUAACACGACAACACUGAUGACAUGAACCAACUCAGACUAGACUGACGACGCGACACCAACUCUGUUCCUCCUCCAGCGUCAUUUUCCUCGGCAAAAUUUUAUAUGAGAAAAGGGGAAAACAUGACUUCGUCAAGGGACAAGUAGCAAUAAAGAUGGUGCAAGAGAUCCAUGGCGCCUAAGAAUUGACGCCUACAAUAACAAGGGAGAAAAUAUGACAUCUCUUUUCUUCAAACUUGUAGCUUUAUCCCAUUCUUGUGAUAGCUUCCAGUGUUGCCCUUAGAACAAGACUGUUCUUGGUUGAUCUUUUGUAGUAUUUAUUCUCAGCCUUUGUUGACUUGCCAAUCUGCUCGUACCUGAAUGUUGGAGACAGAAAAUUGUCACUAUAUAGUUUCGGACUCCUCGUAAUUACACCCACUGAACUCAAAGAAAACAAGAAGCUGGGUUCUCAACACUUAGUUAUUAGUAGCAGUUGAAAUUUUCCAGCAGCAACAAGUAUCGAUACAAAGCCAAUUCGAAUGUACAUAUAAAGAAGCUCUUCCGGAAAUCACCUGUUUCUGCCAUCGGCUGCCAAUGGAUGGCGGAUAUACCCUCCCUCCGGCUGCCCGGUAGAGCUGGACUGACCCAUCCUUGCUACAGCCUCUCUCUCUCUCUCUAGGUUGUGUUGAUGUAGCUCUGCUUGCUAGUUGGCUAUUUACUUGAUGUAGAGAUGUUGCUGGUU
This is a long non-coding RNA of Lolium rigidum, 1136 nucleotides long. RefSeq lists it as uncharacterized. NCBI's taxonomy places the organism in Eukaryota, Viridiplantae, Streptophyta, Magnoliopsida, Poales, Poaceae. The transcript is spliced from 3 exons. The record is from RefSeq and is a predicted model, not a curated record.